RNAcentral lists this transfer RNA (72 nucleotides) under Bacillus xiamenensis. RNAcentral's name for it is "tRNA-Glu". It matches the Rfam family "tRNA". Rfam says of the family: Transfer RNA (tRNA) molecules are approximately 80 nucleotides in length. Their secondary structure includes four short double-helical elements and three loops (D, anti-codon, and T loops). The record is from RNAcentral. Lineage: Bacteria; Bacillati; Bacillota; Bacilli; Caryophanales; Bacillaceae.
GGCCCGUUGGUCAAGCGGUUAAGACAACGCCCUUUCACGGCGGUAACACGGGUUCGAAUCCCGUACGGGUCA